Molecule: unclassified non-coding RNA, 4422 nt
Filed under: Hevea brasiliensis (rubber tree)
Lineage: Eukaryota; Viridiplantae; Streptophyta; Magnoliopsida; Malpighiales; Euphorbiaceae
Source: RNAcentral
GCGAUUUAGGGAAUGUCUCAAGGGUGAAAUUGGUAUCUUCUUCCCCUUAAUUGUUCUACGUCCACUGGAUGGCACAGACCUGAAUGCAAAAACAAGUGUUCCACGGAUGCUAGAGAAAGUUUGCAAGAAUUCCCAGAUGCUUGUUGACCUUUAUGUGAACUAUGAUUGUGAUCUUCAAGCACCUAACUUAUUUGAGCGAAUGGUUACCACAUUAUCCAAAAUUGCACAAGGAAUGCAAAGUGCUGAGCCAAAUUCAGUUGCGACAUCCCAGAUAGCGUCAAUCAAAGCGUCCUCUCUUCAGUGUCUUGUAAAUGUGCUAAAAUCUCUUGUCGAAUGGGAGAAGCGCUGGUCAGAGUUGGAAAGGCUGAGCAACAGGAAUCAGUCUUCUGAAGAUGAAACUUUUAAGGGAGACUCUGAUAAGAUGAGAGACGUGGAUGAUUCAGCCAGUAAUUUUGAGAAACUGAAAGCCCACAAAUCUACUGUUGAAGCAGCUAUUUCUGAAUUCAAUCGAAAACCUACAAAGGGAAUUGAACAUCUAAUAUCAAAUGGGCUGGUUGAGAACUCACCAACUUCGGUUGCUCAAUUUCUCAAAAGUUCUCCUAGUUUGGACAAGGCUAUGAUUGGUGACUACUUGGGUCAGCACGAGGAGUUUCCUGUGGCUGUCAUGCAUGCUUAUGUUGACUCUAUGAAUUUUUCUGGAAUGAAAUUUGAUUUGGCAAUUCGUGAAUUUCUUAAAGGGUUCCGGCUUCCCGGGGAAGCUCAGAAGAUAGAUCGUAUUAUGGAAAAGUUUGCAGAGCGUUACUGUGCGGACAAUCCCGGCUUAUUCAAGAAUGCAGACAUAGCAUAUAUUCUAGCAUAUGCAGUUAUAAUGCUGAAUACAGAUGCUCACAACCCAUUGGUCUGGCCAAAAAUGUCGAAGGAUGAUUUUAUACGUAUAAAUGCCACUGAUGAAGCAGAAGAUUGUGCUCCAAAGGAAUUGCUGGGGGAGAUCUAUGAUUCAAUUGUUCAAGAGGAGAUAAAGAUGAAAGAUGAUCCUGUUGGCCUAGCAAAAAGUAGCAAGCAGAAGCCUGAAGCUGAGGAGAGAGGACGUCUUGUCAAUAUCCUCAACCUUGCACAGCCUAGAAGGAGAUCUUCAGUUGACCCAAAAUCCGAGAGUGAAGCUAUCAUCAAGCAGACACAGGCUAUUUUCCGAAAUCAAGGAGGAAAAAGAGGAGUCUUUUAUACUUCACACAAUACCAAACUUGUACGUCCAAUGAUUGAAGCUCUAGGAUGGCCACUGCUUGCCACUUUAGCUGUUCUUAUGGAGGAAGGAGAUAACAAAGCACGGGUUAGCGUGUGCAUGGAAGGAUUUAAAGCUGGAAUACACAUCACACAUGUUCUCGGGAUGGACACCAUGCGAUAUGCAUUUUUGACAACUCUUCUUAGACUUAAUCUUUUACAUGUACCAAGGGAUAUGAAAAGUAAAAAUGUGGAAGCACUACGGACCCUUCUGGCUAUAUGUGAUUCAGAUGCUGAAGCUUUGCAAGACACAUGGAUCGCGGUGCUUGAGUGCAUUUCCCGGCUUGAGUUUAUAGUAACUAAUCCUUCAAUGGCUUCAACAGUUAUGCAAGGAUCUAACCAAAUUUCCAGAGAUGCUCUGCUUCAAUCUCUUAGAGAGUUGACUGGAAAACCUACCGAGCAAGUAUUCGUGAAUAGUGUUAAAUUGCCCAGUGAAUCAGUGGUUGAAUUUUUCAGUGGUUUGUGUAAAGUCUCAGCUGAGGAAUUAAGACAAUAUCCUGCACGUGUUUUCAGCUUGCAAAAACUUGUUGAGAUCAGCUAUUACAACAUGGCCCGCAUUCGAAUGGUUUGGGCAAGAAUAUGGUCUGUUCUGGCUACUCAUUUUAUUUUUGCUGGGAGCCAUCCUGAAGAGAAAGUUGCUAUGUAUGCCAUAGAUUCUCUUCGGCAACUUGGUAUGAAGUAUUUGGAGCGUGCUGAACUUGCCAAUUUUACCUUCCAGAAUGAUAUCUUAAAACCAUUUGUCGUUCUUAUGCGAAGCAGUCGAAGUGAAACUAUAAGGAGACUUAUUGUGGAUUGCAUUGUGCAAAUGAUAAAGUCGAAGGUGGGAAGUAUUAAGUCUGGCUGGCGAAGUGUGUUCAUGAUAUUCACAGCUGCCGCAGAUGAUGAACUAGAGUCGAUUGUUGAGAGUGCUUUUGAGAAUGUUGAGCAGGUUAUAUUGGAGCACUUUGAUCAAGUAGUUGGAGAUUGCUUCAUGGACUGUGUCAAUUGCUUAAUCAGAUUUGCUAAUAACAAGACCUCCCACAGAAUCAGCUUGAAGGCAAUUGCACUACUCCGUAUAUGCGAGGAUCGUCUUGCAGAGGGUCUUAUACCUGGUGGUGCUCUGAAGCCAGUUGACACUACUGAAGAUGAGACGUGUGACGUCACAGAGCAUUUUUGGUUCCCAAUGCUGGCCGGUCUCUCUGAUCUGACCUCUGAUCCUAGACCAGAGGUUAGAAACUGUGCACUUGAGGUUCUGUUCGAUUUGCUGAACGAACGAGGUGGCAAAUUUUCAUCCACAUUUUGGGAGAACAUUUUUCACCGCGUUCUAUUUCCGAUUUUUGAUCAUGUCAGACAUGCUGGAAAAGAGAACCUGAGCUCUACUGAUGAAUGGCCACGUGAAAGUAGCAUUCAUUCACUCCAAUUGCUGUGCAACCUGUUCAACACUUUUUACAAGAAUGUGUGUUUCAUGCUACCCCCACUGCUGGGUUUGCUUUUAGAUUGUGCCCAAAAAUCUGAUCAGUCUGUAGUUGCAAUCUCUCUCGGUGCGUUGGUGCAUCUUAUUGAAGUUGGUGGACACCAAUUUAGUUACAAUGAUUGGGAUACCUUGCUGGAAAGCAUAAGAAAUGCUUCAUAUGCAACCCAACCCCUUGAGCUUCUGAAUGAUUUGGGUUUUGAGAACUCAAAGCAUCAAACCGCACUGCAUAAUGUUACUGAAAAUGGAAAUGAUGGUGGCCAUUCAUCAGACGUGCUGGAGGAUACUCAUGGAUCAGAGCGUCCUGCUGAUUUGGAGGAAACUGGAGGUAUGCCCUCACCAUCUGGGAGAUCUGAGAAACCUACUGUUCCAGAAGGUCUUGACCGUAGUCAAACAAUAGGUCAGAAAAUUAUGGGAAAUAUGAUGGACAACCGCUUCAUCAGAAGUUUCACCUCUAAACCAAAGAUUCAGGCUUCUGAUAUUUUACCAACUUCACCGUCAAAGCUAUUAGCUGAUGAUGCGGAGCCUGAAGCAAAAGACGAGGAUGAAAGUUCAAUGUUGGCUACUAUUAGGAGCAAAUGCAUCACACAGUUGUUACUUCUCAGUGCAAUUGAUAGCAUUCAGAAGAAAUACUGGAACAAGUUAAAACCAACACACAAGAUAACUAUAAUGGACAUCUUGUUCUCUGUGUUAGAGUUUGCUGCAUCAUAUAAUUCGUAUUCCAAUCUGAGAUUGCGGAUGCGCCAAAUACCUGCUGAAAGGCCACCAUUUAAUCUUCUCCGCCAGGAAUUAGCAGGAACUUCCAUCUAUCUUGAUAUCUUACAGAAGACGACAGCUGGGAUCAAUUCUGUAAGGGAAGAAUCAACUGAAACUACCGUUGCUCAGAGUGGAAAUAGUUUCAUAAAUAAUGAUGCAACUUCUAGUGAUAAGUUUCAAGAGCAGGGAUCAAUUAAAGAAGAUAAGUUUCAACAAAUUGCAGAAGAGAAACUGGUGACAUUUUGUGGACAGGUUCUGAGGGAGGCAUCUGAGUUCCAGUCCUGCACGACAGAGAGUGCUAAUAUGGAUGUUCAUCAAGUUCUGGAAUUGCGUUCUCCAAUCAUUGUUAAGGUGCUGAGGGGUAUGUGCUCUAUGAACAGCCAAAUAUUCAGGAGUCAUCUUAGAGAGUUCUAUCCUUUGAUUACUAAACUUGUGUGUUGUGACCAGAUGGAUGUACGUGGAUCCCUUGCAGAUCUUUUUAAUAUGCAGUUGAAUCCGCUGUUGGCUUAAGAUGUGUUGAGAGUCAAGUGAGGCAUGAUUUUCUAUAAAAAAGCUCAGGAGGCUGAAUCGAUAAUUGACGUACUAGUCCUCUCUACUGUUUUCCUCAGCAUAUCGAUAUUUUAAUAGUUUCUUCAGGUUAGAUUUGAAGGCUUGUAGAACAAACUCCCUCCUCUUGCAUUAGAUGGAGAGAUAAGAUUCACACAUAUGUAUGUAUACCGUUAUGAUAGUGACAAUUUUGUUGAAGUUGCAGAAAAUAACUGCCUUGAUUGUGCAAAUUAGGCAUCGAUUUUAUCAGUCUUUGUUCCUAAUUUUUUCUGAAACAGUUGCAGGCUUAUGUAUGUUAGAGGCCUAAACAUAAGUAUAGAGUGAUAUUCCGCUACUGAGAGUCAUUGUAAUGUACUAUUUGAGUUAGUUUACUAAGAUAAACGAAGGUCUUG